GGCACGGUGGUGCGGUGGGUAGCACUGUCGCCUCACAGCAAGAGUCCUGGGUUCGAUUCUCGGAUGGAGCCU
This 72-nucleotide transfer RNA is filed under the name Anguilla anguilla (European eel). Its description in RNAcentral is "tRNA-OTHER". The record is from RNAcentral. Lineage: Eukaryota; Metazoa; Chordata; Actinopteri; Anguilliformes; Anguillidae.